Molecule: transfer RNA, 62 nt
Filed under: Anomopsocus sp. AnspLA
Lineage: Eukaryota; Metazoa; Arthropoda; Insecta; Psocodea; Lachesillidae
Description: tRNA-Asp
Source: RNAcentral
AAAGAUUUAGUUAAAUCAAUAACGUUAGAAUGUCACCCUAAAAUUGUUACACACAAUCUUUU